AAUUUUAUGCUAGGCUUUGUAUGGUGACUCAUGUUUUCAAUAAAUUAAAUACUAAAAUUAACUGUAUACUUUUACCACACCCCGGUACAAAAAUAUAUUCUUUUUUUUUCCCCCUAAGGGACUUUUAAAAGCUGAAGAGCACAGCUGGUCCCUUGCGGAAUUGGUACAUGCAGUAGUUUUACUCACACACUAUCAUUCUCUUGCCUCAUUCACAUUCGGCUGUGGAAUCAGUCCAGAAAUUCAUUGUGAUGGUGGCCACACAUUCAGACCUCCUUCUGUUAGCAACUACUGCAUCUGUGACAUUACAAAUGGCAAUCACAGUGUGGAUGAGAUGCCGGUCAACUCAGCAGAAAAUGUUUCUGUAAGUGAUUCUUUCUUUGAGGUUGAAGCCCUCAUGGAAAAGAUGAGGCAGUUACAGGAAUGUCGAGAUGAAGAAGAGGCAAGUCAGGAAGAGAUGGCUUCACGUUUUGAAAUAGAAAAAAGAGAGAGUAUGUUUGUCUUCUCUUCAGAUGAUGAAGAAGUUACACCAGCAAGAGAUGUAUCUCGUCAUUUUGAGGAUACUAGUUAUGGCUAUAAAGAUUUCUCUAGAC
Molecule: small RNA, 590 nt
Filed under: Pongo abelii (Sumatran orangutan)
Lineage: Eukaryota; Metazoa; Chordata; Mammalia; Primates; Hominidae
Description: retained intron
Source: RNAcentral